GCAGCUAAUGCAGCCUUGAGUCUCUAGCGGAGAUGAGGAGCUACAGAGGUCUGGUAAAAUCACGUCCGAUUUUUUAAUUUUCAAAGCUCCUUCUCUUUUCCUGAGGAGCUGCAUGUCACAGCUAGGUGACACAGAUAUGGAGGAGGAGAGGAGUAUCUGCACAAUAGAGGCCACAGGCAGACAGAUCGACAGUUGGUGGCGGUAAGGAGCAAAAAAAGAGUAGAAAUAUUCCAACAAAGACAACAAAGAAGACUGCAAACUUGUCAACGUGAAUGUAAUCAAUACAAGAUUUAAAAUAUUUGACUUUCAAAUGUUUAAUGAGUGAGGAAAUACAUUCAAUGUUCAA
Long non-coding RNA from Perca fluviatilis (European perch), 346 nucleotides. RefSeq lists it as uncharacterized. The transcript is spliced from 3 exons. The record is from RefSeq and is a predicted model, not a curated record. Lineage: Eukaryota; Metazoa; Chordata; Actinopteri; Perciformes; Percidae.